CCUCUCCUGGAGCUCUGGGGAAGAUGGGAAAAAAGACACUCGCUUGCUUUUAAUACCACAGGGGCAGCCACGAUCCUGCAAAACCGGUGACUGAAAUGUCAGGAAUGUCUCCAAAAUCAAACAAUACCAGAGCCCACCUCCUGCUCUGUUUCCAAGGGAAAGCUCUUUCUAAAAAAGACUGCCAGCCUUGCUCAACUGUUUGAAGAAUGAUCCCAGUUUCUUACCUUCAAAUUAAGUUGCAAAUUCUUCCAGGAUAGCAAGAGAUGAAGGGGAUCUUAAGAGAGAAAUCACUGAUUUUGUGCACAGGCCGGUGAUACUCAAGCAGGGAGGAGCUGAUGAUGGACUGGAACUCAUUAGCAAGAAAAUCCUCAGGUGCCUCAUAAAGCCUCUCCUCUGAGUCUGCUGAAGUGAUAACAUCACUGGAAGAGAUUUUUCUGACUAGGAAUGGCCAACCAGGGACUAUUGGUUUGAUUAGAUUGCACUGAAGCUUCACAUCACACCUGAAAUACAGACUGUGGAGCCAACAGAAGKUUGUGAGGAGACCAAGACAGGAGAUUGUGGUGCAGCUUGGCUUCUGCCCAGCAUCAGAGGCAGGUGAAGGUGAGCCACAAGCUGAAAAUGGACAGUGUAGUUUCUGGAGAGACAUGAGGGAUUUGCUGUGAGCAAGGCUGGGGAGCCCAAAAUGAUGCAGAGCAACUGAAAAAAGGAGAGUUUAAAGUAGGUCUGGGGUAAGUAACCAGGAUAGCAUUGCCUCUUCCCCUCCAGAGGGAAGGAAAGCUGGUCAGCAUGCAAACACAAAGCUUGGUAGCCAUGUGGAGAGGGGUUACUGCCUUUGUUUGCCUCCACGAGCACAGAAAUGCUGCAGGAAAACUUUUAUAUUGAGGGCUGUUGAUCCAUUCUUCUUGGAGUACCCAGAUUUCAUG
Long non-coding RNA from Malurus melanocephalus (red-backed fairy wren), 923 nucleotides. RefSeq lists it as uncharacterized. The record is from RefSeq and is a predicted model, not a curated record. The transcript has 3 exons. NCBI's taxonomy places the organism in Eukaryota, Metazoa, Chordata, Aves, Passeriformes, Maluridae.